Molecule: small nuclear RNA, 81 nt
Filed under: Homo sapiens (human)
Lineage: Eukaryota; Metazoa; Chordata; Mammalia; Primates; Hominidae
Description: partial ncRNA
Source: RNAcentral
AGAAAAAUUGCUUGAAACCAGGGGGCGGAGAUUGCAGUGAGCCAAGAUCUCUCCACUGCACUCCAACCUGAGCAACAAGAG